UACGUAGGGUGCAAGCGUUAAUCGGAAUUACUGGGCGUAAAGCGUGCGCAGGCGGUGAUGUAAGACAGAUGUGAAAUCCCCGGGCUCAACCUGGGACCUGCAUUUGUGACUGCAUCGCUAGAGUACGGUAGAGGGGGAUGGAAUUCCGCGUGUAGCAGUGAAAUGCGUAGAUAUCGGGAGGAACACCAGCGGCGAAGGCGGCACUCUGGGCUGGUACUGACGCUGAGGUGCGAAAGCGUGGGGAGCAAACAGG
This 253-nucleotide ribosomal RNA is filed under the name uncultured bacterium. RNAcentral describes it as "partial 16S ribosomal RNA". It matches the Rfam family "Bacterial small subunit ribosomal RNA", at positions 524 to 776 of the family's 1533-position model. The record is from RNAcentral.